CAGCACCUCAAGUGGUCAGGAUGAUUAUUGGGCCUAAAGCAUCCGUAGCCGGCGCUGUAAGUUUUCGGUUAAAUCUGUACGCUCAACGUACAGGCUGCCGGGAAUACUGCAGCGCUAGGGAGUGGGAGAGGUAGACGGUACUCGGUAGGAAGGGGUAAAAUCCUUUGAUCUAUUGAUGACCACCUGUGGCGAAGGCGGCCUACCAGAACACGUCCGACGGUGAGGGAUGAAAGCUGGGGGAGCAAACCGGAUUAGAGACCCGCGUAGUCC
This 270-nucleotide ribosomal RNA is filed under the name uncultured archaeon. RNAcentral's name for it is "partial 16S ribosomal RNA". It matches the Rfam family "Archaeal small subunit ribosomal RNA", at positions 477 to 747 of the family's 1478-position model. The record is from RNAcentral.